RNAcentral lists this unclassified non-coding RNA (1680 nucleotides) under uncultured fungus. RNAcentral's name for it is "sequence contains 18S rRNA gene, ITS1, 5.8S rRNA gene, ITS2, 28S rRNA gene". The stretch from base 567 to 1680 matches the Rfam family "Eukaryotic large subunit ribosomal RNA", at positions 1 to 961 of the family's 3401-position model. The record is from RNAcentral. Lineage: Eukaryota; Fungi.
GGAAGGAUCAUUAGAGUGAAAAAUGUUCUCAAAAAAAAGGGGGGUCAGUCUCUGAUAAGGAGAUUGACAUUUCCCUGAUAAACUAGUGAAACGUUAAAGUCUUACUUUUUAACUACAAAUACAAAAUAUGGCUGAUCAUCCAACGAAGAUUUUUACCGAUCUUUGUGAAUCUAAAUUACAACUUUUAGCAAUGGAUGUCUCGGCUCCCACAUCGAUGAAGAGCGCAGCGAAAUGCGAUAACUAGUGUGAAUUGCAGAACUCAGCGAAUCAUCGAACUCUUGAACGCAUCUUGCACCCUCUGGAAACGGAGGGUAUGUCUGUUUGAGUGUUGGUUCAAUAUUAUCACAAUCAAAUCUAUUUGAUAUGUGGAAUUUGAUCGUUUGGAAACCAGCUUUCCAUCGAUUUAAGCAAAGAAAAGGCGAAGUAAUCAUUUACUUGAACUUUUACAUUAGUGUUGUAGGUUUCGACCCCUCAUUUGAUGUAUCUGUUAAUAAGAACUUGAUUCUUCAAAAUCCCUUUCCAAUAGAGGUUUCCAUUGAGAACAUCCCUCUAAUUUUACCAAUCAUCAACCUCAAAUCAGUCAAGAUCACCCCCUGAACUUAAGCAUAUCAAUAAGGGGAGGAAAAGAAACUAACAAGGAUUCCCUCAGUAACGGCGAGUGAAGCGGGAACAGCUCAAACUUGGAAUCGAAGAGGCAUUGCUUCUUUGAAUUGUAGUUUUGUGAACAACUUCAAAGGAAUGGAAUGAUGUUAAAGUCUGUUGGAAUACAGCGCCAAAGAGGGUGAUAGCCCCGUAAAUGACAUUAUUCUGUUCCGUAUGUUGUUGUUUCAGAGAGUCGGGUUGUUUGGGAGUAUAGCCCUAAAUUGGUGGUAAGUUCCAUCUAAAGCUAAAUAUGGGUGGGAGACCGAUAGCGAACAAGUACCGCGAGGGAAAGAUGAAAAGAACUUUGAAAAGAGAGUUCAAAGGACCUGAAAUUGCUAAAAAGAAGCGAUUAGUACUUUCGAAUGGGAUGGUGGAGAUUCAGGUUGGGGGAGAUGGAAGUGGGGGAACACAAGUUGGGAUACUAACUGUUCUUUUCUCAUUUGAAGUCUUUCUUAGCUGCACUUUUCUAUCAUUCCAAGCAUCGUGAGUUUUGAAUCGGUUAAAAUAGAGUAGAAAGGUAAUUUGACUGAGGUCAAGUGAAUAUCUACUUUGAUGACCUUUUCUAGACUGAGGGUCUGUUCUCAGACAAAGAGUGUGCUUAGCGGUGUAAAGGGGUGAAAUGGGGGGUAGAUUGUUGGGGGUGCUUGCACUGACGAUAAUCUGCUUUUUAUCCAACCUCUGUCAUCUUACACUCUAAAGACGAUGUAGAUUGUACCAAUUGUCCCGUCUUGAAACACGGACCAAGGAGUCUAACGUAUGUGCAAGUUAAUGGGUGAGUAAAACCCACAAGCGAAAUGAAAGUAAUUGGUGUGAAGGACUUUAAAUAUCCUGCAACAUCAUCCGGCUUGAGAACUUUGUUCAAAGGUCUGAGAUUGAGCACAUGCGUCAGGACCCGAAAGAUUGCGAACUAUGCCUGUAUAGGGUGAAGCCAGGAGAAAUUCUGGUGGAGGCUCGUAGCGGUUCUAACGUGCAAAUUGAUCGUCCAAUAUGGGUAUAGCGGCGAAAGACUAAUCGAGCAGUCUAGUAGCUGGUUCCCUC